AGUGAACGCUGGCGGUAGGCCUAACACAUGCAAGUCGAACGGCAGCACAGUAAGAGCUUGCUCUUACGGGUGGCGAGUGGCGGACGGGUGAGGAAUACAUCGGAAUCUACUUUUUCGUGGGGGAUAACGUAGGGAAACUUACGCUAAUACCGCAUACGACCUACGGGUGAAAGCAGGGGAUCUUCGGACCUUGCGCGAUUGAAUGAGCCGAUGUCGGAUUAGCUAGUUGGCGGGGUAAAGGCCCACCAAGGCGACGAUCCGUAGCUGGUCUGAGAGAAUGAUCAGCCACACUGGAACUGAGACACGGUCCAGACUCCUACGAGAGGCAGCAGUGGGGAAUAUUGGACAAUGGGCGCAAGCCUGAUCCAGCCAUACCGCGUGGGUGAAGAAGGCCUUCGGGUUGUAAAGCCCUUUUGUUGGGAAAGAAAAGCAGCAGGUUAAUACCCCGCUGUUCUGACGGUACCCAAAGAAUAAGCACCGGCUAACUUCGUG
RNAcentral lists this ribosomal RNA (492 nucleotides) under uncultured bacterium. Its description in RNAcentral is "partial 16S ribosomal RNA". It matches the Rfam family "Bacterial small subunit ribosomal RNA", at positions 29 to 507 of the family's 1533-position model. The record is from RNAcentral.